This 1253-nucleotide long non-coding RNA is filed under the name Malus domestica (apple). RNAcentral's name for it is "long non-coding RNA (MDOM_LNC016461)". Lineage: Eukaryota; Viridiplantae; Streptophyta; Magnoliopsida; Rosales; Rosaceae. The record is from RNAcentral.
CAAUAUAGGUAAGAAAGCUCCAAAGGGAAUGAUGUGACAAGCUCUUCAUACAAACAUCAUUUCCACACACUUCGGAUUAAUGCAAGCAAAUCAUUGCUAUGCUGAAUAAGAGCGAACUCAAAGCUCGCAGCGUUAAUAACAACUUGAAAUUGGUACAAAUCGGAAUAUUUUGUAUAUAAAAAUGAUAAUCUGUUGGACUGACUAGUCAAACCCACUAAUCAACUAAGAUAGAAUUGUUAGUCGAUAAAUCAAAGAUUUAAUAACCAAUUUCAAAUACCAAAAGUUAUCCUAGUCAGUGAUAUCUCAGUUCAUUCCAAGUUAUUAAUCUGUCAAAUGAACAAGACUGUGAGCACAUACUAAUUAAAUACUCAAGUGAUAUAUGUAGCAUGUAGUUAUGUGAGAUAUGUGGCACACUGCAAACAACUUUGAACACAAGAUGUUUUUGGCCAGAAAAACCCACCUUUAGAUUAAAAAAACCAGGGACUCUCCACUGAGUCUAAUCCAUUAGUAUAAUCAAAGUUCUUACAAAGUAGCACGCAAAGCUCAAUUCCUAGACCUAGUCUAUGAAGCAGUUUUACCUUUGUGCAACCUUACCUCACACAAGAUGGAUUCCUUCGAUCUUCACGAAGUGGCAGCUCCUCUUGACUUCUUCACCUUGUGCCACCAAGACCAGCACACGAACUAUGCAUAUGUUGAUAUGGCAAUGAUAUACAAAUUUGGAUUCAAAUGUCUAGUUCGUUUCUCCAGUCAAACUGUUAAAGGAAGAAACUUACGAGAAUCCUAAAAUGGGUUAAUUUUAAAGAUUUGAACGAGAAACACUUGACCACAAAUUUAAUGCAAAACCAAAGACAAUGCAACCCUAUUCUUCAAUGAUUGGGUGUUUAAUGCAUGAAAGAAGGUUUUGCAACUAGGGUUUCAUAAAUGAGGAAGAGGAAAAAUAAAGGGUAAAUUACAUUUGAGUCCCUCAAAUAUUGGGCCAAUUGCAACCUCAUACAACAUUUUAAAAACAUUUCAAUUUCAUACAUUUAUUUAUAUUUAUUUUUAGUUUCAUACAUCUGUUACAAAAUUUGUUAAGUUAACCGUUAAGUAAUGACGUGGCAAUUGUAAGGUCCAUAUUUGUGGUGACAUGGUUGCCAACUUUAUACCAUGUGAAUAAAAACAAUAAAAAAAGAUUAUUUAAUAAAAAAUCAAUUUAAAUUAUAAUUAAAAACUAAAAAAAAAUUGAAAAGAGGAUAUAUUCAAAGCUUGGCCCA